RNAcentral lists this long non-coding RNA (1365 nucleotides) under Mus pahari (shrew mouse). RNAcentral's name for it is "lncRNA (MGP_PahariEiJ_G0003349.1)". Lineage: Eukaryota; Metazoa; Chordata; Mammalia; Rodentia; Muridae. The record is from RNAcentral.
GGAGGAAGCAGCAGCCCUCAGCUAGCCCAGAGGUGUCAGCGGCUCUUCUCACCAAAGCAGCUCCACAUCACCUGACGGCAGGCGCUGCCAAGGGCCGGGGCUUCCUGUGAGCUAGACUCCGAGCCGCCUUUCUCACUAAAGAGAAGAGUGGGCUUGCCUCUCCUCUGCUCAUGACCCACUCAAAGGCAGCCCGCCAGAGUUCCUGCUGCUGGCAACAUUUGGAUCAUCCUAAGCAUUUGCUAAGUGCCAUCAACACACUGACUUAAGUGGUAGAGGGAUGAGGGCCUGGUGUGGGCUGUGGGGAUGGAGGAGGAGGCGAGCAGGAGGAGAAAGCAGAUGGAGAGGUGUGAGAAGACGAAACCAGGCACCGGGACUAGACUCUGGUAUCUCCAGUCCUUACUGCACUGUCUGCUCCGUGGGUCUAACCGCUCAUCUAAUGACAUCUUCAGCUCUGCCCCCCCCCCCCCCCCGGCUCUACACUCCACUGGAACCAGCCCGCACAAUUAAGCCAUUAUUUUCUACCGUGGCCCAUGGGACAGAAUCCAGAAGGCUUUGUCUAGCCAGGGCUGGCUUUCCACAACUGCGCCUUCCAUCCAGGCCAGCUUUACUUUCCAUUGCUUCACAGGGAGGAAAAAUCGACUGUACCCAGCCUGGCUCAUCCUUCCCACCACUCCCUUCUGCGCAGCUGUACACAGCUUUUAGCAAAAGCCUACCCUCUGGUUCCUGCCUUGUACCCAUCUUGUGCAACAAUGAAGCUACCUGAAUUCUACAGAUGAGAACUCAAGCCUCAGAAGAUACAGGGUCCUCCUCAGCUGGAAGAAUCCUGGGCCAGAGAGCUCUAGUCUCAGCUCAGGACCUGUCUAUUCUACCGGUCAAGGUCAUCCCUGUCUCCCUCACUGAAGUGAAAGCCGUAUGCACACCGGAGCAUGGGUCAUCCUCACUUCCUAUAUUUGGCAAACAAUGAGCACAUUAGUGUCUUAAUCUAUGCAGGCUGCUAAGACAGUAAGCCAUAGAGCCAUAGACCCGUGGACUCUAAGCAACAGAAAUGUAUUGCCCAGAGGAGGCUGGGAAGUUCCAGAUCAGAAUGCCUAUUGAUGAUGUCUAGUGAAGGUCCAUCAUUUGACCUACAGAAAUCCAUCCUCUUUCUUGUUCUCAUGGCAGAAGACUAAGGGAGUUCUCUGGGAGUUUCUUAUGAGAGCAUUGACCCAUGAAGGUUUCACCCUAUUAUCUGAUCACCACUCAGAGGCCUGCCUCCUGAUGCUACCACAUUUGGAGUCAGACUCAACGCUCGAAUUCUGAGGCACACAAUCUACUACAGAUGGGUUAUAAUUACUCUACAAAAAAAAAAAAAAAAGCAGCACUAGG